Molecule: ribosomal RNA, 253 nt
Filed under: uncultured bacterium
Lineage: Bacteria
Description: partial 16S ribosomal RNA
Rfam family: Bacterial small subunit ribosomal RNA
Source: RNAcentral
UACAGAGGUGGCAAGCGUUGUUCGGAAUUACUGGGCGUAAAGGGCGCGUAGGCGGCCCGUCAAGUCCCGUGUGAAAGCCCCCGGCUCAACCGGGGAACGGCGCGGGAAACUAGCAGGCUUGAGUUCGGGAGAGGGAAGCGGAAUUCCGGGUGUAGCGGUGAAAUGCGCAGAUAUCAGGAGGAACACCGGUGGCGAAGGCGGGUCUCUGGGCCGUAACUGACGCUGAGGAGCGAAAGCAUGGGGAGCGAACAGG